RNAcentral lists this small nuclear RNA (189 nucleotides) under Paxillus involutus ATCC 200175. Lineage: Eukaryota; Fungi; Basidiomycota; Agaricomycetes; Boletales; Paxillaceae. The record is from RNAcentral.
GCACCCUUCGGGGUUGCACACGAUAAAAUUGGAACGAUACAGAGAAGAAGUUGGUUUCUACCGCCACGGCCAAUGAACCGCUUAGUAAUGUUUUUCCCACACCACCUAUAGCCUGCUAAUUACAUAAUCACACUGAUUAGCAUGGCCCCUGCACAAGGAUGACACGCUUUUCCGGAGUGGUAGACCUAU